CUGUAACCCUUAUACUUGAGUCAUGUUAGUAAUUUUUUUUUCUUUCAUUUUCUUUUUAAUUUUGCCACCAAAACUUGCAAGAAUUAAACUCUAAACCUGGCAAAUUUUAUUAGAUGCCAACACUCAAGAUGUAAUAUUUUUAGUGUUAUGUACUGGCAUUAAUACAUUCAAUGUUACUACAUCCAAUGUUUGGAAACAUUGACCAUGUAACCACUAGCCUGUUGCAGCAGCUGCCAUGGGGCACUGGUAUCUUGAUCCCCGUGUUGGGUGUGCCAUCCCAUUUUGUGCAGAAAUAUUCUUUAAGCGUAUUAUUACAGGACCAACAAUAACAGCGUAAAAUGUCCCCCAAAAAAGAAUGCAUUGGGAUCUUGCCCUUUCUAAAGAGUUGUAUCAGUUUGCUGUAGCUAAAGGUAACAUAUAGAGCGCAAACACAUGAAAUAUUGAUUUUGAUUCUUUUGUAUCUUGGUUAAUAUUUCAUGCUCUGUAAUAUAUGCUUACACGUUAUACAAUUCCCAAUGUGGAGAGUAUUUUAUUGGUUUACACCCUUUCAAAUUUUACAUUUUUUUUUAUGCUUUAUGGGCCAGGGUACCAUGUUCGGUAAAUAUUUUUUUGUUUGUAAACAUUUCCAUCUGUCAGAAAAAAUUAAUUCCUGAAAAUGUUAUUUAAAUAGUUUAGAAAUUCAGUCACCUUAAUGAAGGGUGAACUAAACAUCGAAAAUUAAUUCCUUAAAUGAAGACAGAACUUUAGGUUCUGUCCUAUUUACUUACCCUAUCAAUCAUAUAGUGUAUUCAUGUGUAUAUUGAGUACUCAUCUCCUGGAAGGAGAAAUUGCAAGCUUUGAACAGUACAUUGGCUUGCUUCUUGCAUAGUCUUAAAUGGCCAAUAUAAAAGGUCUCCCCAUUCUUCUCCAAAACCUACUUCAACAUCAAGGUAAAAAGUGAGAAAUAAAAACGUACCUCAUCCUUUCACCUUAAUAGUUGUGGACCUUGUGUAGAUGAAUUAGCUAAAGAUUUAAUUAUACUUAUAGCAAAUCUCAUCUUGUAUCCAUUUGUCCAUACAGACAUGCAUACUUUAAUUACAAACACACACACACACACACACACACACACACACACAUAUGUGCCUUAUUAAGGUGAAAGGAUGAGGUAGUUUUUAUAUAUAUAUAUGCCUAUCCCCAUGAGUAUCUAUAUAUAUAUAUAUUAAUCUCUUCGUUUAUUUUAAAUCCACCUGGACAGCUGACAACUGACUAUACAACCAACUUUUCGAUUAUUAUUAUUAUUAUUUUCUUUUUACUUGACAUGGCCAAUUAAUUUGUAAACUCAAUUCUGUGUGACCUUUAAAUGAUAUACCCCAUCAUCUUCAUGGUUUAAUCACACUCGAGGGGUUUCAUAUCAGGCCAUUUCUAGCUUGAACAGUAACUCGAUGUUGGCCUUUCGAGUAAUCAAACAGUCUCAUUUCAAUGAACGUUAAAAAUUGAACAUUACUUUUUAAAUGAAUCUUUUUGAAACAAAAAGAGUAAGAUCCCUGCUUCAAGUGUUAUUACGUAUUUUGUAUAUUAGUAUUCUGAUAACGGACAUGCCAGUUCUAUUUUUUUCCUAAAUUGUUGCUUGAAAGUUUAUUUAAAACAUAGGAAUAAAACUAUAAGUGUUAAAACUCUAUUUACUAAAUAUAUCUGUAGCAUUUUUCUAAUUAACAAAUAGAUGCAGCUUGCUUUAAUUUUGUUAAGGUCUUGUUUCUUUUUCUGUUAAUGAUAACUAAUUGUUGCCUUGAAACAAUUAUUGAUAUGUUUAUCUAGUAAAAAAGAUAAAGCUUACCUUCCGUCUUUUAUUUUUAAGAAAUCCC
This 1841-nucleotide long non-coding RNA is filed under the name Pelobates cultripes (western spadefoot toad). The record is from RNAcentral. Lineage: Eukaryota; Metazoa; Chordata; Amphibia; Anura; Pelobatidae.